GAUGAACGCUGGCGGCGUGCUUAAUACAUGCAAGUCGAGCGACCACACGAGGAGAUUGUUCUUUUGCCGUUAGCGGCGGACGGGCGAGUAACACGUGGAUAACCUUCUUCUUAUUCUGGGAUAACAUCGGGAAAACAGUGCUACUACUGGAUCAUAUAACCUACCGCUUGAUUCAAUAGUGAUUGACAGCUUUGCCGUCACUUUUAGCUGGAUCCGCGCCGCAUUAGCUAGUUGGUAAGGUAACGGCUUACCAAGGCGACGAUGCGUAGCCGACCUGAGAGGGUGAUCAGCCACACUGGAACUGAGACACGGUCCAGACUCCUACGGGAGGCAGCAGUAGGGAAUCUUCGGCAAUGGGCGAAAGCCUGACGGAGCAACACCGCGUGGGUGAAGAAGGUCUUCGGAUCGUAAAGCUCUGUUGUUAGGAAAGAACAGAGGUAUGUGAAUCUAUGCACGUCUUGACGGUACCUAAAGAGAAAGCCACGGCUAACUACGUG
This 497-nucleotide ribosomal RNA is filed under the name uncultured bacterium. RNAcentral's name for it is "partial 16S ribosomal RNA". It matches the Rfam family "Bacterial small subunit ribosomal RNA", at positions 28 to 507 of the family's 1533-position model. The record is from RNAcentral.